Long non-coding RNA from Oncorhynchus mykiss (rainbow trout), 10443 nucleotides. Lineage: Eukaryota; Metazoa; Chordata; Actinopteri; Salmoniformes; Salmonidae. The record is from Ensembl.
AGUACACAACCAUUUACUGUCCUUUACCAUACAGUACACAACCAUUUACUGUCCUUUACCAUACAGUACACAACCAUUUACUGUCCUUUACCAUACAGUACACAACCAUUUACUGUCCUUUACCAUACAGUACACAACCAUUUACUGUCCUUUACCAGACAGUACACAACCAUUUACUGUCCUUUACCAUACAGUACACAACCACUUACUGUCCUUUAUCAGACAGUACACAACCAUUUACUGUCCUUUACCAUACAGUACACAACCAUUUACUGUCCUUUACCAUACAGUACACAACCAUUUACUGUCCUUUACCAUACAGUACACAACCAUUUACUGUCCUUUACCAUACAGUACACAACCAUUUACUGUCCUUUACCAGACAGUACACAACCACUUACUGUCCUUUACCAUACAGUACACAACCAUUUACUGUCCUUUACCAUACAGUACACAACCAUUUACUGUCCUUUACCAUACAGUACACAACCAUUUACUGUCCUUUACCAUACAGUACACAACCAUUUACUGUCCUUUACCAUACAGUACACAACCAUUUACUGUCCUUUACCAUACAGUACACAACCAUUUACUGUCCUUUACCAGACAGUACACAACCACUUACUGUCCUUUACCAUACAGUACACAACCAUUUACUGUCCUUUACCAUACAGUACACAACCAUUUACUGUCCUUUACCAUACAGUACACAACCAUUUACUGUCCUUUACCAUACAGUACACAACCAUUUACUGUCCUUUACCAUACAGUACACAACCAUUUACUGUCCUUUACCAUACAGUACACAACCAUUUACUGUCCUUUACCAUACAGUACACAACCAUUUACUGUCCUUUACCAUACAGUACACAACCAUUUACUGUCCUUUACCAUACAGUACACAACCAUUUACUGUCCUUUACCAUACAGUACACAACCAUUUACUGUCCUUUACCAUACAGUACACAACCAUCUACAGUCCUUUACCAUACAGUACACAACCAUCUACAGUCCUUUACCAUACAGUACACAACCAUUUACUGUCCUUUACCAUACAGUACACAACCAUCUACAGUCCUUUACCAUACAGUACACAACCAUUUACUAUCCUUUACCAUACAGUACACAACCAUUUACUGUCCUUUACCAUACAGUACACAACCAUUUACUGUCCUUUACCAUACAGUACACAACCAUUUACUGUCCUUUACCAUACAGUACACAACCAUUUACUGUCCUUUACCAUACAGUACACAACCAUUUACUGUCCUUUACCAUACAGUACACAACCAUUUACUGUCCUUUACCAGACAGUACACAACCAUUUACUGUCCUUUACCAGACAGUACACAACCAUUUACUGUCCUUUACCAGACAGUACACAACCAUUUACUGUCCUUUACCAGACAGUACACAACCAUUUACUGUCCUUUACCAUACAGUACACAACCAUCUACAGUCCUUUACCAUACAGUACACAGCCAUUUACUAUCCUUUACCAUACAGUACACAACCAUUUACUGUCCUUUACCAGACAGUACACAACCAUUUACUGUCCUUUACCAUACAGUACACAACCAUCUACAGUCCUUUACCAGACAGUACACAACCAUUUACUGUCCUUUACCAUACAGUACACAACCAUUUACUGUCCUUUACCAGACAGUACACAACCAUUUACUGUCCUUUACCAUACAGUACACAACCAUCUACAGUCCUUUACCAGACAGUACACAACCAUUUACUGUCCUUUACCAGACAGUACACAACCAUUUACUGUCCUUUACCAUACAGUACACAACCAUUUACUGUCCUUUACCAUACAGAACACAACCAUUUACUGUCCUUUACCAUACAGUACACAACCAUUUACUAUCCUUUACCAUACAGUACACAACCAUUUACUGUCCUUUACCAGACAGUACAGAACCAUUUACUGUCCUUUACCAUACAGUACACAACCAUCUACUGUCCUUUACCAGACAGUACACAACCAUCUACAGUCCUUUACCAUACAGUACACAACCAUUUACUGUCCUUUACCAGACAGUACACAACCAUCUACUGUCCUUUACCAUACAGUACACAACCAUUUACUGUCCUUUCCCAUACAGUACACAACCAUUUACUGUCCUUUACCAUACAGUACACAACCAUUUACUGUCCUUUACCAUACAGUACACAACCAUCUACAGUCCUUUACCAUACAGUACACAACCAUUUACUGUCCUUUACCAUACAGUACACAACCAUCUACUGUCCUUUACCAUACAGUACACAACCAUUUACUGUCCUUUCCCAUACAGUACACAACCAUUUACUGUCCUUUACCAUACAGUACACAACCAUUUACUGUCCUUUACCAUACAGUACACAACCAUCUACUGUCCUUUACCAUACAGUACACAACCAUUUACUGUCCUUUCCCAUACAGUACACAACCAUUUACUGUCCUUUACCAUACAGUACACAACCAUUUACUGUCCUUUACCAUACAGUACACAACCAUCUACAGUCCUUUACCAUACAGUACACAACCAUUUACUGUCCUUUACCAUACAGUACACAACCAUUUACUAUCCUUUACCAUACAGUACACAACCAUUUACUGUCCUUUACCAUACAGUACACAACCAUUUACUGUCCUUUACCAUACAGUACACAACCACUUACUGUCCUUUACCAGACAGUACACAACCAUUUACUGUCCUUUACCAGACAGUACACAACCACUUACUGUCCUUUACCAGACAGUACACAACCAUUUACUGUCCUUUACCAGACAGUACACAACCAUUUACUGUCCUUUACCAUACAGUACACAACCAUCUACAGUCCUUUACCAUACAGUACACAACCAUUUACUGUCCUUUACCAUACAGUACACAACCAUUUACUGUCCUUUAUCAGACAGUACACAACCAUUUACUGUCCUUUACCAGACAGUACACAACCAUUUACUGUCCUUUACCAGACAGUACACAACCAUUUACUGUCCUUUACCAUACAGUACACAACCACUUACUGUCCUUUACCAUACAGUACACAACCAUCUACUGUCCUUUACCAGACAGUACACAACCAUUUACUGUCCUUUACCAUACAGUACACAACCAUUUACUGUCCUUUACCAUACAGUACACAACCAUCUACUGUCCUUUAUCAGACAGUACACAACCAUUUACUGUCCUUUACCAUACAGUACACAACCAUCUACUGUCCUUUACCAGACAGUACACAACCAUUUACUGUCCUUUACCAUACAGUACACAACCACUUACUGUCCUUUACCAUACAGUACACAACCAUUUACUGUCCUUUACCAUACAGUACACAACCAUUUACUGUCCUUUACCAUACAGUACACAACCAUUUAAUGUCCUUUACCAUACAGUACACAACCAUUUACUGUCCUUUACCAUACAGUACACAACCAUCUACUGUCCUUUACCAUACAGUACACAACCAUUUACUGUCCUUUACCAUACAGUACACAACCAUUUACUGUCCUUUACCAUACAGUACACAACCAUUUACUGUCCUUUACCAUACAGUACACAACCAUCUACAGUCCUUUACCAUACAGUACACAACCAUUUACUGUUUUACUGUCCUUUACCAUACAGUACACAACCAUUUACUGUCCUUUACCAUACAGUACACAACCAUCUACUGUCCUUUACCAUACAGUACACAACCAUUUACUGUCCUUUCCCAUACAGUACACAACCAUUUACUGUCCUUUACCAUACAGUACACAACCAUUUACUGUCCUUUACCAUACAGUACACAACCAUCUACAGUCCUUUACCAUACAGUACACAACCAUUUACUGUCCUUUACCAUACAGUACACAACCAUUUACUAUCCUUUACCAUACAGUACACAACCAUUUACUGUCCUUUACCAUACAGUACACAGCCAUUUACUAUCCUUUACCAUACAGUACACAACCAUUUACUGUCCUUUACCAUACAGUACACAACCAUUUACUGUCCUUUACCAUACAGUACACAACCACUUACUGUCCUUUACCAGACAGUACACAACCAUUUACUGUCCUUUACCAGACAGUACACAACCACUUACUGUCCUUUACCAGACAGUACACAACCAUUUACUGUCCUUUACCAUACAGUACACAACCAUCUACAGUCCUUUACCAUACAGUACACAACCAUCUACUGUCCUUUACCAGACAGUCAACAACCAUUUACUGUCCUUUACCAUACAGUACACAACCAUUUACUGUCCUUUACCAUACAGUACACAACCAUCUACUGUCCUUUAUCAGACAGUACACAACCAUUUACUGUCCUUUACCAUACAGUACACAACCAUCUACUGUCCUUUACCAGACAGUACACAACCAUUUACUGUCCUUUACCAUACAGUACACAACCACUUACUGUCCUUUACCAUACAGUACACAACCAUUUACUGUCCUUUACCAUACAGUACACAACCAUUUACUGUCCUUUACCAUACAGUACACAACCAUUUACUGUCCUUUACCAUACAGUACACAACCAUUUACUGUCCUUUACCAUACAGUACACAACCAUCUACUGUCCUUUACCAUACAGUACACAACCAUUUACUGUCCUUUCCCAUACAGUACACAACCAUUUACUGUCCUUUACCAUACAGUACACAACCAUUUACUGUCCUUUACCAUACAGUACACAACCAUCUACAGUCCUUUACCAUACAGUACACAACCAUUUACUGUCCUUUACCAUACAGUACACAACCAUUUACUAUCCUUUACCAUACAGUACACAACCAUUUACUGUCCUUUACCAUACAGUACACAGCCAUUUACUAUCCUUUACCAUACAGUACACAACCAUUUACUGUCCUUUACCAUACAGUACACAACCAUUUACUGUCCUUUACCAUACAGUACACAACCACAUACUGUCCUUUACCAGACAGUACACAACCAUUUACUGUCCUUUACCAGACAGUACACAACCACUUACUGUCCUUUACCAGACAGUACACAACCAUUUACUGUCCUUUACCAUACAGUACACAACCAUCUACAGUCCUUUACCAUACAGUACACAACCAUUUACUGUCCUUUACCAUACAGUACACAACCAUUUACUGUCCUUUACCAUACAGUACACAACCAUUUACUGUCCUUUACCAUACAGUACACAACCAUCUACAGUCCUUUACCAUACAGUACACAACCAUUUACUGUCCUUUACCAUACAGUACACAACCAUUUACUGUCCUUUACCAUACAGUACACAACCAUCUACAGUCCUUUACCAUACAGUACACAACCAUUUACUGUCCUUUACCAUACAGUACACAACCAUUUACUGUCCUUUACCAUACAGUACACAACCAUUUACUGUCCUUUACCAUACAGUACACAACCAUUUACUGUCCUUUACCAUACAGUACACAACCAUUUACUGUCCUUUACCAGACAGUACACAACCACUUACUGUCCUUUACCAUACAGUACACAACCAUUUACUGUCCUUUACCAUACAGUACACAACCAUUUACUGUCCUUUACCAUACAGUACACAACCAUUUACUGUCCUUUACCAUACAGUACACAACCAUUUACUGUCCUUUACCAUACAGUACACAACCAUUUACUGUCCUUUACCAUACAGUACACAACCAUUUACUGUCCUUUACCAUACAGUACACAACCAUUUACUGUCCUUUACCAUACAGUACACAACCAUUUACUGUCCUUUACCAUACAGUACACAACCAUUUACUGUCCUUUACCAUACAGUACACAACCAUUUACUGUCCUUUACCAUACAGUACACAACCAUCUACAGUCCUUUACCAUACAGUACACAACCAUCUACAGUCCUUUACCAUACAGUACACAACCAUUUACUGUCCUUUACCAUACAGUACACAACCAUCUACAGUCCUUUACCAUACAGUACACAACCAUUUACUAUCCUUUACCAUACAGUACACAACCAUUUACUGUCCUUUACCAUACAGUACACAACCAUUUACUGUCCUUUACCAUACAGUACACAACCAUUUACUGUCCUUUACCAUACAGUACACAACCAUUUACUGUCCUUUACCAUACAGUACACAACCAUUUACUGUCCUUUACCAUACAGUACACAACCAUUUACUGUCCUUUACCAGACAGUACACAACCAUUUACUGUCCUUUACCAGACAGUACACAACCAUUUACUGUCCUUUACCAGACAGUACACAACCAUUUACUGUCCUUUACCAGACAGUACACAACCAUUUACUGUCCUUUACCAUACAGUACACAACCAUCUACAGUCCUUUACCAUACAGUACACAGCCAUUUACUAUCCUUUACCAUACAGUACACAACCAUUUACUGUCCUUUACCAGACAGUACACAACCAUUUACUGUCCUUUACCAUACAGUACACAACCAUCUACAGUCCUUUACCAGACAGUACACAACCAUUUACUGUCCUUUACCAGACAGUACACAACCAUUUACUGUCCUUUACCAUACAGUACACAACCAUUUACUGUCCUUUACCAUACAGAACACAACCAUUUACUGUCCUUUACCAUACAGUACACAACCAUUUACUAUCCUUUACCAUACAGUACACAACCAUUUACUGUCCUUUACCAGACAGUACAGAACCAUUUACUGUCCUUUACCAUACAGUACACAACCAUCUACUGUCCUUUACCAGACAGUACACAACCAUCUACAGUCCUUUACCAUACAGUACACAACCAUUUACUGUCCUUUACCAGACAGUACACAACCAUCUACUGUCCUUUACCAUACAGUACACAACCAUUUACUGUCCUUUCCCAUACAGUACACAACCAUUUACUGUCCUUUACCAUACAGUACACAACCAUUUACUGUCCUUUACCAUACAGUACACAACCAUCUACAGUCCUUUACCAUACAGUACACAACCAUUUACUGUCCUUUACCAUACAGUACACAACCAUCUACUGUCCUUUACCAUACAGUACACAACCAUUUACUGUCCUUUCCCAUACAGUACACAACCAUUUACUGUCCUUUACCAUACAGUACACAACCAUUUACUGUCCUUUACCAUACAGUACACAACCAUCUACUGUCCUUUACCAUACAGUACACAACCAUUUACUGUCCUUUCCCAUACAGUACACAACCAUUUACUGUCCUUUACCAUACAGUACACAACCAUUUACUGUCCUUUACCAUACAGUACACAACCAUCUACAGUCCUUUACCAUACAGUACACAACCAUUUACUGUCCUUUACCAUACAGUACACAACCAUUUACUAUCCUUUACCAUACAGUACACAACCAUUUACUGUCCUUUACCAUACAGUACACAACCAUUUACUGUCCUUUACCAUACAGUACACAACCACUUACUGUCCUUUACCAGACAGUACACAACCAUUUACUGUCCUUUACCAGACAGUACACAACCACUUACUGUCCUUUACCAGACAGUACACAACCAUUUACUGUCCUUUACCAGACAGUACACAACCAUUUACUGUCCUUUACCAUACAGUACACAACCAUCUACAGUCCUUUACCAUACAGUACACAACCAUUUACUGUCCUUUACCAUACAGUACACAACCAUUUACUGUCCUUUAUCAGACAGUACACAACCAUUUACUGUCCUUUACCAGACAGUACACAACCAUUUACUGUCCUUUACCAGACAGUACACAACCAUUUACUGUCCUUUACCAUACAGUACACAACCACUUACUGUCCUUUACCAUACAGUACACAACCAUCUACUGUCCUUUACCAGACAGUACACAACCAUUUACUGUCCUUUACCAUACAGUACACAACCAUUUACUGUCCUUUACCAUACAGUACACAACCAUCUACUGUCCUUUAUCAGACAGUACACAACCAUUUACUGUCCUUUACCAUACAGUACACAACCAUCUACUGUCCUUUACCAGACAGUACACAACCAUUUACUGUCCUUUACCAUACAGUACACAACCACUUACUGUCCUUUACCAUACAGUACACAACCAUUUACUGUCCUUUACCAUACAGUACACAACCAUUUACUGUCCUUUACCAUACAGUACACAACCAUUUAAUGUCCUUUACCAUACAGUACACAACCAUUUACUGUCCUUUACCAUACAGUACACAACCAUCUACUGUCCUUUACCAUACAGUACACAACCAUUUACUGUCCUUUACCAUACAGUACACAACCAUUUACUGUCCUUUACCAUACAGUACACAACCAUUUACUGUCCUUUACCAUACAGUACACAACCAUCUACAGUCCUUUACCAUACAGUACACAACCAUUUACUGUUUUACUGUCCUUUACCAUACAGUACACAACCAUUUACUGUCCUUUACCAUACAGUACACAACCAUCUACUGUCCUUUACCAUACAGUACACAACCAUUUACUGUCCUUUCCCAUACAGUACACAACCAUUUACUGUCCUUUACCAUACAGUACACAACCAUUUACUGUCCUUUACCAUACAGUACACAACCAUCUACAGUCCUUUACCAUACAGUACACAACCAUUUACUGUCCUUUACCAUACAGUACACAACCAUUUACUAUCCUUUACCAUACAGUACACAACCAUUUACUGUCCUUUACCAUACAGUACACAGCCAUUUACUAUCCUUUACCAUACAGUACACAACCAUUUACUGUCCUUUACCAUACAGUACACAACCAUUUACUGUCCUUUACCAUACAGUACACAACCACUUACUGUCCUUUACCAGACAGUACACAACCAUUUACUGUCCUUUACCAGACAGUACACAACCACUUACUGUCCUUUACCAGACAGUACACAACCAUUUACUGUCCUUUACCAUACAGUACACAACCAUCUACAGUCCUUUACCAUACAGUACACAACCAUCUACUGUCCUUUACCAGACAGUCAACAACCAUUUACUGUCCUUUACCAUACAGUACACAACCAUUUACUGUCCUUUACCAUACAGUACACAACCAUCUACUGUCCUUUAUCAGACAGUACACAACCAUUUACUGUCCUUUACCAUACAGUACACAACCAUCUACUGUCCUUUACCAGACAGUACACAACCAUUUACUGUCCUUUACCAUACAGUACACAACCACUUACUGUCCUUUACCAUACAGUACACAACCAUUUACUGUCCUUUACCAUACAGUACACAACCAUUUACUGUCCUUUACCAUACAGUACACAACCAUUUACUGUCCUUUACCAUACAGUACACAACCAUUUACUGUCCUUUACCAUACAGUACACAACCAUCUACUGUCCUUUACCAUACAGUACACAACCAUUUACUGUCCUUUCCCAUACAGUACACAACCAUUUACUGUCCUUUACCAUACAGUACACAACCAUUUACUGUCCUUUACCAUACAGUACACAACCAUCUACAGUCCUUUACCAUACAGUACACAACCAUUUACUGUCCUUUACCAUACAGUACACAACCAUUUACUAUCCUUUACCAUACAGUACACAACCAUUUACUGUCCUUUACCAUACAGUACACAGCCAUUUACUAUCCUUUACCAUACAGUACACAACCAUUUACUGUCCUUUACCAUACAGUACACAACCAUUUACUGUCCUUUACCAUACAGUACACAACCACAUACUGUCCUUUACCAGACAGUACACAACCAUUUACUGUCCUUUACCAGACAGUACACAACCACUUACUGUCCUUUACCAGACAGUACACAACCAUUUACUGUCCUUUACCAUACAGUACACAACCAUCUACAGUCCUUUACCAUACAGUACACAACCAUUUACUGUCCUUUACCAUACAGUACACAACCAUUUACUGUCCUUUACCAUACAGUACACAACCAUUUACUGUCCUUUACCAUACAGUACACAACCAUCUACAGUCCUUUACCAUACAGUACACAACCAUUUACUGUCCUUUACCAUACAGUACACAACCAUUUACUGUCCUUUACCAUACAGUACACAACCAUCUACAGUCCUUUACCAUACAGUACACAACCAUUUACUGUCCUUUACCAUACAGUACACAACCAUUUACUGUCCUUUACCAUACAGUACACAACCAUUUACUGUCCUUUACCAUACAGUACACAACCAUUUACUGUCCUUUACCAUACAGUACACAACCAUUUACUGUCCUUUACCAUACAGUACACAACCAUUUACUGUCCUUUACCAUACAGUACACAACCAUUUACUGUCCUUUACCAUACAGUACACAACCAUCUACAGUCCUUUACCAUACAGUACACAACCAUUUACUGUCCUUUACCAUACAGUACACAACCAUCUACAGUCCUUUACCAGACAGUACACAACCAUUUACUGUCCUUUACCAUACAGUACACAACCAUUUACUGUCCUUUACCAUACAGUACACAACCAUCUACAGUCCUUUACCAUACAGUACACAACCAUUUACUGUCCUUUAA